GUGGGGAAUAUUGGGCAAUGGGCGAAAGCCUGACCCAGCGACGCCGCGUGAGGGAAGAAGGUCUUCGGAUUGUAAACCUUUGUCAACAGGGACGAAAACAAUGACGGUACCUGUGGAGGAAGCCACGGCUAACUACGUGCCAGCAGCCGCGGUAAUACGUAGGUGGCGAGCGUUAUCCGGAUUUACUGGGUGUAAAGGGUGAGUAGGCGGGAAGUCAAGUCAGAUGUGAAAUGCCGCGGCUUAACUGCGGAACUGCAUUUGAAACUGAUUUUCUUGAGAGUCGGAGAGGCAAUCGGAAUUCCUAGUGUAGCGGUGAAAUGCGUAGAUAUUAGGAGGAACACCAGUGGCGAAGGCGGAUUGCUGGACGACAACUGACGCUGAGACACGAAAGCGUGGGGAGCAAACAGGAUUAGAAACCCUGGUAGUCC
RNAcentral lists this ribosomal RNA (428 nucleotides) under uncultured bacterium. RNAcentral describes it as "bacterial SSU rRNA". It matches the Rfam family "Bacterial small subunit ribosomal RNA", at positions 354 to 796 of the family's 1533-position model. The record is from RNAcentral.